CUACGGGUCGCUGCAGGCGAGAAAACUUUGCAAUGUGCGAAAGCACGACAAGGUUAAUCCGAGUGGUUUGUGCUAAACGAACCUUUUGUUAGUCCUAGAAACACUAACGAAUAAGGGGUGGGCAAGUUCUGGUGUCAGCCGCCGCGGUAAAACCAGCACCUCAAGUGGUCAGGAUGAUUAUUGGGCCUAAAGCAUCCGUAGCCGGCUCUGUAAGUUUUCGGUUAAAUCUGUACGCUUAACGUACAGGCUGCCGGGAAUACUGCAUAGCUAGGAAGUGGGAGAGGUAGACGGUACUCGGUAGGAAGGGGUAAAAUCCUUUGAUCUAUUGAUGACCACCUGUGGCGAAGGCGGUCUACCAGAACACGUUCGACGGUGAGGGAUGAAAGCGUGGGGAGCAAACAGGAUUAGAUACCCUGGUAGUC
This 422-nucleotide ribosomal RNA is filed under the name uncultured archaeon. RNAcentral describes it as "partial 16S ribosomal RNA". It matches the Rfam family "Archaeal small subunit ribosomal RNA", at positions 323 to 746 of the family's 1478-position model. The record is from RNAcentral.